This is a long non-coding RNA of Mustela erminea (ermine), 73 nucleotides long. RefSeq lists it as uncharacterized. Lineage: Eukaryota; Metazoa; Chordata; Mammalia; Carnivora; Mustelidae. The record is from RefSeq and is a predicted model, not a curated record. The transcript is spliced from 3 exons.
AGUUAACAAUGCUGUUCAGUACACUAAAAAUUUGUUUAGAGGGUAGAUCUCAUUUUAUGUGUUUUACCCAAAG